AAUAAUUGCGCAAACGCCACUCUCCCAAUUCCAAAACCCUAUACGCAGCUUUCUCUCUCAUCUUUCUCAGACAACGACUUCUGUUGUCAUUUUGGUUUCUUUCUCUCUCUCUCGCUCUGUCUCUCUACACCGCUCUUUCCAAUCUCCACCGAGGUCUCGACGACAAAUCCAAGCUGGGCCAAGAAACCUGCGGGGAAGGUAAGAUAAGGAUACCCAGCGAAAUCUUUCGAAUCUUUCGAGUUUCGAGUCCCGUCGGAAGCUGGACGAAGAAAGCCUGCCAGCUGCAUGGACGGUGGGAGCUGGGCCAAGAAAGCAAAGAAACUCUGGGUUUAGAAACAAAAAUAGUUCAGAAAUAAAAAUUGGCUUUGUGGAGGAGAAAGAGUGCCAGAGAUUUUGCAGCUUCAACUUGCUUAUGAGAGGUAUUUUCUGUUGUCCACCAUGUGUUUGUUAAAAUGCAUGUUGCAAAAUUCAUCUCUCUCUUUUAUUUGUAGAGACUUUGUAGUGAACUAGAGGGCUUCUGCAGAUUUUUUUUUUCUCCUUUUUGAACAACGUAUAUGACUGGAACUUUACUCUCUUCUAUUUGCAGAGACUUUGUAGUGAAGUAGAGAGCUUCUGUAGAUUUUUUUCCCCCUGUUUGAACGGCGUAUAUGACUGGAACUUGAACAUCGAAAGGAAAAUUUCACAAUCUACAUCACUUACUUUUGUGUUGGUGAAACUUUGUUUGGCUAACUGAAAAUUUCACAAUCUACUUUAUUUUACUGUUGCAUAUAUGUAUGUAUAGCCAAACAAACUUUGAGCCAAACUUGUUUGGCUUCCACAAGGAAAUUGACAGUUCUUUGUAGCUAACUUAAAAAUUUAGUUGGGAGAGUGCCGUAAGCACGAGUAAUUCUCUUUCGUGCCACUAAGAAGAGGAUCACAUACUACAUACUAAUGAAUCGAUUUAGUGUUUGAGCCACUAGCUAGCAAGUGCCAUAGGCACGGGUAAAAGUGGAGUAAUUUUGCCAUGUGAGCAUGAGAUAAUUAGAAAAAAGAAAAGAAUGAGCUAUAUGUCCGAAGGCACCCUGAUUUUUCGAAUUCUCAGUUGACAGAUCUGUGCUAGAUUUUCUUUUCUUUUGUCUGUGCGUACUUUGUGUGUGAUGAGAUGCUAUGUUUGUUCUCUUAAUUGCGGUAAAUGGUCUCUCGACACACACAAGAGAGAGAGAGAGAGAGAGAGAGAGAGAGAGAUGAGGGACUUCAAGAGUGAGCUAGAGUGGUACUGAUAAGUGAUAUGAGAGAGAGCGAGAGAAAGAGAGAGAGAGGGACUUCACGAGCGAGCUAGAGUGGUACUGACAAGUGAUAUCAUAUUUUUGAAGUAAUGCAUAUGUUCUGUGCAAUAAAUAAACAUGUGUAUCAUAUUUUUUCAAGUAGGUAGAUAUCUGUUCAAAAAAAAGAAGAAGUAGUAUUUGUUCAAAUAUUUUGGAAGUACCUCCACGUGGUAUUCCGGACCAUUUUACAAUCACGCGUUUCCGUCGGGUCCAUACACUUGGUGGUAGACAAGAAUGUGUGGUCAUAAAAUGAUACGUAGUAUCAAGUGGCCGUACUCCCGAACUGUUAUAUAAUUUCACGUCGAUAAAACCCUUUUUAGAAAAGAAAGAAAGAAAG
This is a long non-coding RNA of Rhododendron vialii, 1641 nucleotides long. RefSeq lists it as uncharacterized. The record is from RefSeq and is a predicted model, not a curated record. Lineage: Eukaryota; Viridiplantae; Streptophyta; Magnoliopsida; Ericales; Ericaceae. The transcript is spliced from 2 exons.